AACGAACGCUGGCGGCAUGCCUAACACAUGCAAGUCGAACGAGACCUUCGGGUCUAGUGGCGCACGGGUGCGUAACGCGUGGGAACCUGCCCUUAGGUUCGGAAUAACUCCCCGAAAGGGGUGCUAAUACCGGAUAAUGUCUUCGGACCAAAGAUUUAUCGCCUUUGGAUGGGCCCGCGUUGGAUUAGCUAGUUGGUAGGGUAAAAGCCUACCAAGGCGACGAUCCAUAGCUGGUCUGAGAGGAUGAUCAGCCACACUGGGACUGAGACACGGCCCAGACUCCUACGGGAGGCAGCAGUGGGGAAUAGUGGACAAUGGGCGAAAGCCUGAUCCAGCAAUGCCGCGUGAGUGAUGAAGGCAGUAGGGUUGUAAAGCUCUUUUACCCGGGAUGAUAAUGACAGUACCGGGAGAAUAAGCUCCGGCUAACUCCGUG
RNAcentral lists this ribosomal RNA (433 nucleotides) under uncultured bacterium. Its description in RNAcentral is "partial 16S ribosomal RNA". It matches the Rfam family "Bacterial small subunit ribosomal RNA", at positions 29 to 507 of the family's 1533-position model. The record is from RNAcentral.